GAAAAACAUGGCUGUCCCUACUACAAGAAUCUGGCAGCCAUAGUUGAGCCAAAAACAGUGGUUUCAUCUGUGUUUUUGGCCUCAUUUUUGUUCCUCUUUCAUUGCUUCUUCUUGUGCCUUUGUGACUUAUAAAACAUCAUCAUUAUCUUAUCCUUUAUAAGUGAGAUUGAGAAACAAUCGAGGUAAAUAUAUUGAUUGUGUAUUGGAGCUGUUUGGAUUGGUUGUUUAGUAGAGAAAGUUAAUGUGAAACUGAGCUCGAAAAUCAUCGAUCGGUCCUUGGAACAAGCUUCCGCGACACAACUAAUAUAUGUGAUCAAUUUAUGUUAAAAGUUUGAAUUUUAACGUGAAUUUGUAAAAUAUUUAUUUCUAUUUUUGACGCAUAUUGGAUGAUUAAUGAAGUUCUUUAGGAGUUUGAUGUUCUUAUUUUGAUUGUUUCAAUGGGUGCUAUUUAUUUAUCUUUAGAAUUUCAAGCUCAAUUUGGAUUCAGAGUGGUUGAUCAUUUGCCAUUUAAUUCAUACGUGAGAAAAAUUGUUGGAGAUGAUUGAGGAGAUGUGAUUGAUAAUGAUCGAUGAAAAAGCUUAUUAAAGUGAAUAUUUUACGAGUGUCAUAGCCACGCUUGCUGAACAAUAUAUUGUUCAAGCCACUGCCCCUUGGAGUAAUUGAACGUUCUUCCUAUACUUACUCUUUUAAUUCUCAGUUUGACCCACAUAUUAAGCAUUUGAUGUUGAAUUGAUUGGUAAAUGUGCUAGGUAAGAAGUUAUUUUGCAAUUUAGUCAAGAAAAUCCUGCAGGAUUGUUGUGAACCCCUUACAUAAAUUUUCCCCAACAGUCAGUUUGGCCACGGGGAUUGCCCUUGGUAAAAUGUAGGUGAGACUGGGCACGAUGAGUUUUACACUGAGGUUUUUGGUAGUAGACAGUUUAUACGACAAGGGCAUUUUGUUUUAGUACGUUUUCCUCUUGUUCUCAUCGAGCUCUGUGAUGUAGAGUUAUACUCAGUACAUCCCUUUGCCAAUCACUGAUAUGGAGUCCUAGUUGAAAGUACCCUCAAUAUAUGUUCUUGACAGCUCUGUUUCUGGGAUGAUUAUUAAUGCCUUUGUUGAGGUACUCAUGCUAUUGUGGAAUGACAAGUGGUUUAUAUAAACCGAUAUAGCAACUUAAUAUUUGUCUUGUAUUUUCACAGCUCCAAAGACUUGUCUGCUUCAAGUUGUGGAUCCUCCAUGGGAAAUUGUAUUUUGCUGGUGCUUGUGAAGCUUAUGUGAUACUCCCUCAGACAAAUGGCGACAAAAACAACCAAGACAUGAACUUGAAUGGGGAUGUAGAAUUAGAUUCUACUAAAAAUCUGCAAGAACUAAUAGCUUAUUAUCAGAUCUUUUCUUGCACAACUUGUAAUCCCCAUUGUUGAUUUUACUCUUUUUCCAUGUGUCAUCAUGCAUUUUUUAGUAAUUCUU
RNAcentral lists this long non-coding RNA (1447 nucleotides) under Olea europaea subsp. europaea. Lineage: Eukaryota; Viridiplantae; Streptophyta; Magnoliopsida; Lamiales; Oleaceae. The record is from RNAcentral.